AGCUUUGUGCAGUGGCAGUAUCAUAGCCAGUGAGAUUUAUCUGAGGCACAAUGAUUGCUAAUUAAAAUGAUCACAUUUUAAAAUUCAUAGAUUUAUUCAUUGGUA
This 105-nucleotide small nuclear RNA is filed under the name Chinchilla lanigera (long-tailed chinchilla). Its description in RNAcentral is "U4 spliceosomal RNA (ENSCLAG00000020506.1)". It matches the Rfam family "U4 spliceosomal RNA". From Rfam's summary of the family: U4 small nuclear RNA (U4 snRNA) is a component of the major U2-dependent spliceosome. Lineage: Eukaryota; Metazoa; Chordata; Mammalia; Rodentia; Chinchillidae. The record is from RNAcentral.